GCCUGAUGCAGCGACGCCGCGUGAGGGAUGACGGCCUUCGGGUUGUAAACCUCUUUCAAUAGGGACGAAGCGCAAGUGACGGUACCUAUAGAAGAAGGACCGGCCAACUACGUGCCAGCAGCCGCGGUAAUACGUAGGGUCCGAGCGUUGUCCGGAAUUACUGGGCGUAAAGAGCUCGUAGGUGGUUUGUCGCGUUGUUCGUGAAAACUCACAGCUCAACUGUGGGCGUGCGGGCGAUACGGGCAGACUAGAGUACUGCAGGGGAGACUGGAAUUCCUGGUGUAGCGGUGGAAUGCGCAGAUAUCAGGAGGAACACCGGUGGCGAAGGCGGGUCUCUGGGCAGUAACUGACGCUGAGGAGCGAAAGCGUGGGGAGCGAACAGGAUUAGAUACCCUGGUAGUCCACGCCGUAAACGGUGGGUACUAGGUGUGGGUUUCCUUCCUUGGGAUCCGUGCCGUAGCUAACGCAUUAAGUACCCCGCCUGGGGAGUACGGCCGCAAGGCUAAAACUCAAAGAAAUUGACGGGGGCCCGCACAAGCGGCGGAGCAUGUGGAUUAAUUCGAUGCAACGCGAAGAACCUUACCUGGGUUUGACAUGCACAGGACGCCGGCAGAGAUGUCGGUUCCCUUGUGGCC
RNAcentral lists this ribosomal RNA (635 nucleotides) under Mycobacterium sp. So3Pt_256. RNAcentral's name for it is "bacterial SSU rRNA". It matches the Rfam family "Bacterial small subunit ribosomal RNA", at positions 381 to 1028 of the family's 1533-position model. Lineage: Bacteria; Bacillati; Actinomycetota; Actinomycetes; Mycobacteriales; Mycobacteriaceae. The record is from RNAcentral.